This 495-nucleotide ribosomal RNA is filed under the name uncultured bacterium. RNAcentral describes it as "partial 16S ribosomal RNA". It matches the Rfam family "Bacterial small subunit ribosomal RNA", at positions 28 to 507 of the family's 1533-position model. The record is from RNAcentral.
GACGAACGCUGGCGGCGUGCCUAAUACAUGCAAGUAGAACGCUGAAGGAGGAGCUUGCUUCUCUGGAUGAGUUGCGUACGGGUGAGUAACGCGUAGGUAACCUGCCUGGUAGCGGGGGAUAACUAUUGGAAACGAUAGCUAAUACCGCAUAAGAGUAGAUGUUGCAUGACAUUUGCUUAAAAGGUUCAAUUGCAUCACUACCAGAUGGACCUGCGUUGUCUUAGCUAGUUGGUGAGGUAACGGCUCACCAAGGCGACGAUACAUAGCCGACCUGAGAGGGUGAUCGGCCAAACUGGGAAUGAGACACGGCCCAGACUCCUACGGGAGGCAGCAGUAGGGAAUCUUCGGCAAUGGACGGAAGUCUGAACGAGCAACGCCGCGUGAGUGAAGAAGGUUUUCGGAUCGUAAAGCUCUGUUGUAAGAGAAGAAAGAGUGUGAGAGUGGAAAGUGCACACUGUGACGGUAUCUUACCAGAAAGGGACGGCUAACUACGUG